CCGAGAUGAGUUCUCCCUGACUCCUUGAGAGUCCUGAAGGAACGUUGAAGACGACGACGUUGAUAGGCCGGGUGUGUAAGCGCAGCGAUGCGUUGAGCUAACCGGUACUAAUGAACCGUGAGGCUUAACCUU
This 132-nucleotide ribosomal RNA is filed under the name Escherichia coli. RNAcentral describes it as "partial 23S ribosomal RNA". It matches the Rfam family "Bacterial large subunit ribosomal RNA", at positions 2799 to 2925 of the family's 2925-position model. RNAcentral also lists the same sequence under 2 other names. Lineage: Bacteria; Pseudomonadati; Pseudomonadota; Gammaproteobacteria; Enterobacterales; Enterobacteriaceae. The record is from RNAcentral.